UGGUGGAGUGAUUUGUCUGGUUAAUUCCGUUAACGAACGAGACCUCGGGGGGUUUGUUUGCGGUGGGUCAACUUCUUUUUGGGGAGUUGGUGAGGCGCGCGCGAGCGCGUCCAAGUUCCACCCUCCCAACACGACCGCCGGAGCGAUCCGGAGGAGGUGCGAGGCAAUAACA
RNAcentral lists this ribosomal RNA (172 nucleotides) under uncultured eukaryote. Its description in RNAcentral is "partial 18S ribosomal RNA". It matches the Rfam family "Eukaryotic small subunit ribosomal RNA", at positions 1299 to 1458 of the family's 1831-position model. The record is from RNAcentral.